GGAGGUGGACAGUCCAGCCUGUGUUGUUGGAAUUCCAGCUGGCAGUGCCUGAAAGCCAGGCGGCUCCUGCCUGCGCUGGUCACCACUGUUCCGGUGGGGAUGGCUGUGCCCGGGGGAAAAUGACCCCCAAGGACCCCCACGGCAAGACCCAAGAGCCCGGGACUGCGGGAGGCCUGACCAUGGCUCGGGAAUCUGGAGAUCCAGCUCCUGAAGCUCUUUCCCAGCUCUUCUCCUCUCUGCACCUCUGUCCCUCUUCCCCUGUACCACAGGACAGCAGAAGGAGACGGUUUUUAAUGAGCCAGGUGUCAUGGCUCGGUCGUGAUUCCGGGCAGGGCAGCAGAGCUCUCAUGAGCUGGGUCUCCCUCUCCUCGCUGCCUGGGGAGCCCAGCUCUGAGUGUCCCCGCCAGCGGGACAGCCGUGUCCGACGCCCCAGCAGCACAUGCGCAGGAGGGACCGGCUGCUGUUUCGGACCUCGCGUCCAGUUGAAUUUCUUUGCAGAAGAAAGGGAAUUCCUCGGCCGACAGCCGCAACAGCCGAGGAAGAGGGGGGCUCCUGGAAGAGUGGAUCCCUGCUCCUCGUCCACUCUCCAUAGCCCAGAUGAAAUGUGCAUCAGACGCUACAAGCCUGUUGAAAAGCCCUGCAUUCCCGGGCCGAUCCUUGUGUUGGCCUGUGCUCUGCCUGGCAGUGUGCAUUGCAGGAGGAUCCCUCACUGUCACCAGGGACAGCGAGCCGUCUGGGACAGGUGUGGGGGGGCAGCUCUCCCAGUGCCCAGAUGGGAUCUCUGUCUCUCUGCACGACAACACCCUGCCCACCCACUGCUCCCUGUCUGUGGAGAUCUCUGCUCUAGUCUGGGGACACUUCCAGCACAGAGAUACCGGCCUUUGUCUUUUAUAUAACCCCACAGCCAGAGGCAAAUGGACACAAUGGGGGGUAAACACGUCCCUCAACCAAUGAACUGCUGAAAUGAAAUUUAAAUAGUAUAUGCAAAUGGAAAAGAACUUGGGAGGCCAGCCAGGAGUGUUUUUACACUUCUUAUGGCCAAAAGAAACUAAUGUCUAGAGAUUUGGAAUUGAUUGCAUAAAGUAACAUGUAUUGCCUGCAUGUAUUUUAGAGCUAUAAAAAGAUUUAUUGCAGCCAGAUCAGAUGUCUCUCAUCAUUAUUAUUAUAAUUAAUAUCAGUAGGACAGGGGUGGUGAACAUUGGCAUUUAAGUAAUCCUUAUUUAUCACAUUGAUCUCCAGCCCCCCAGCUGAUUAAGCAAUUAAGGAUCAAUUCAGUUAUUGGAAGGUCCAAAGCACCUGUGAUGGUACCGCAUGCCAAGUCUGACCUCCCCUGAGUUAAAGGAGUCGGCAGUGACAUCCUGAAAAGCACAGAUUCCUACGGGAGAGAACACAGGCAUCUCCCUCUCCAUUUCAGGCUUCUCUGUGAUGCCUGCUCUCUUUCCAGCUGUGCUUUCGCCACUCCUGAUCUCAGUUUAGUUUAGUGCAGAACACUCACAUGUUGCAUGAACACAAAGCCAAGUCUUCAUGCAGUACGGUAAGGCCUGCCAUCCAAGAGCCAUGCGUUCAGGGGAACUGCACUUUAGCCUCCCUCAUCAGUGGGACCGUCUGUUGACUCUUCCCUUCUCUUCCCUGCGGCGGCACUCUUCCACGCUCAGCACACAAACCACAGAGUCUCCUCAGGACAGGAACCCCUCCUCUGACAGAGCCUCCAGAAGAGAGAGCAGACCCCACCUGUGUCCGGCCCCUGAACCGGACUCCCAGAACCUGCUGGACGGCACGGUUCCCCGGAUCUCAGCUGGAGCCGGCUGGCCUGCACGAGGAGCACGUAUUCCCACCGGGUGAAAGAUUCCUUUUCAAUCUGUGAGUUAGCGAAGCCCCUAAUCUUCCUUCACAGGCUACCCGUCUGUCCUCUGGAAGGGAGAUGUCCUCCUGGGAUGUGGAAGCACACACACUGCACACAGGUUCUCUGUCCCCUUGGCUGUCAUUCUUUGUUCCUUUAUAAAUGAGGCAUUCCAGUUGCCAAUUAUGGUUUACAGCUACUACAGCUCUCUAAUUACAGACGUUUAACGAGCUUGCAAUUGACUCUAACGAGCUUCCU
Long non-coding RNA from Lepisosteus oculatus (spotted gar), 2098 nucleotides. The record is from Ensembl. NCBI's taxonomy places the organism in Eukaryota, Metazoa, Chordata, Actinopteri, Semionotiformes, Lepisosteidae.